GUGGGGAAUAUUGGACAAUGGGCGAAAGCCUGAUCCAGCCAUGCCGCGUGUGUGAAGAAGGUCUUCGGAUUGUAAAGCACUUUAAGUUGGGAGGAAGGGCAGUAAGUUAAUACCUUGCUGUUUUGACGUUACCGACAGAAUAAGCACCGGCUAACUUCGUGCCAGCAGCCGCGGUAAUACGAAGGGUGCAAGCGUUAAUCAGAAUUACUGGGCGUAAAGCGCGCGUAGGUGGUUUUGUAAGUUGGAGGUGAAAUCCCCGGGCUCAACCUGGGAACUGCCUCCAAAACUGCAUGACUAGAGUACGGUAGAGGGUAGUGGAAUUUCCUGUGUAGCGGUGAAAUGCGUAGAUAUAGGAAGGAACACCAGUGGCGAAGGCGACUACCUGGACUGAUACUGACACUGAGGUGCGAAAGCGUGGGGAGCAAACAGGAUUAGAUACCCCAGUAGUCC
Molecule: ribosomal RNA, 450 nt
Filed under: uncultured bacterium
Lineage: Bacteria
Description: partial 16S ribosomal RNA
Rfam family: Bacterial small subunit ribosomal RNA
Source: RNAcentral